This 472-nucleotide ribosomal RNA is filed under the name uncultured bacterium. RNAcentral describes it as "SSU rRNA". It matches the Rfam family "Bacterial small subunit ribosomal RNA", at positions 26 to 518 of the family's 1533-position model. The record is from RNAcentral.
AGGACGAACGCUGGCGGCGUGCUUAACACAUGCAAGUCGAGCGGAAAGGCCCACUUGUGGGUACUCGAGCGGCGAACGGGUGAGUAACACGUGAGUAAUCUGCCCUUCACUUUGGGAUAACUGCCUGAAAGGGUGGCUAAUACCGGAUAUGACUGCUGCCUGCAUGGGUGGUGGUGGAAAGCUUUUGUGGUGGGGGAUGUGCUCGCGGCCUAUCAGCUUGUUGGUGGGGUAAUGGCUUACCAAGGCUUUGACGGGUAGCCGGCCUGAGAGGGUGACCGGCCACACUGGGACUGAGACACGGCCCAGACUCCUACGGGAGGCAGCAGUGGGGAAUAUUGCGCAAUGGGCGAAAGCCUGACGCAGCGACGCCGCGUGGGGAUGAAGGCCUUCGGGUGUAACCCUUUCAGCAGGGACGAAGCGAAAGUGACGGUACCUGCAGAGAAGCGCCGGCUAACUACGUGCCAGCAGCCGC